RNAcentral lists this ribosomal RNA (497 nucleotides) under uncultured bacterium. RNAcentral's name for it is "partial 16S ribosomal RNA". It matches the Rfam family "Bacterial small subunit ribosomal RNA", at positions 28 to 507 of the family's 1533-position model. The record is from RNAcentral.
GAUGAACGCUGGCGGCGUGCCUAAUACAUGCAAGUCGAGCGAACGGACGAGGAGCUUGCUCCUCUGAUGUUAGCGGCGGACGGGUGAGUAACACGUGGAUAACCUACCUAUAAGACUGGGAUAACUUCGGGAAACCGGAGCUAAUACCGGAUAAUAUUUUGAACCGCAUGGUUCAAUAGUGAAAGACGGUCUUACUGUCACUUAUAGAUGGAUCCGCGCUGCAUUAGCUAGUUGGUAAGGUAACGGCUUACCAAGGCAACGAUGCAUAGCCGACCUGAGAGGGUGAUCGGCCACACUGGAACUGAGACACGGUCCAGACUCCUACGGGAGGCAGCAGUAGGGAAUCUUCCGCAAUGGGCGAAAGCCUGACGGAGCAACGCCGCGUGAGUGAUGAAGGUCUUCGGAUCGUAAAACUCUGUUAUUAGGGAAGAACAAAUGUGUAAGUAACUAUGCACAUCUUGACGGUACCUAAUCAGAAAGCCACGGCUAACUACGUG